UACAGGAGCUGUAGAAGAGAAGGACAGGGGAGACAACAGGCUCAGUCAUCUGAUUAUGAAACGCUGCAGGAACUUCAACAUCGGAGAAAAGCUGACAUGCAGCGGCCCUCAGGGAGGAGACGGCUUCACUCUCUCCUUCUGUUUGUCAAGCCGGUAUUAGCAAUGUGCGUGAGGCGGUGGCCUCAGAUUCGGAGGAGAC
This is a long non-coding RNA of Fundulus heteroclitus (mummichog), 199 nucleotides long. RefSeq lists it as uncharacterized. The transcript has 3 exons. NCBI's taxonomy places the organism in Eukaryota, Metazoa, Chordata, Actinopteri, Cyprinodontiformes, Fundulidae. The record is from RefSeq and is a predicted model, not a curated record.